CCCUAGUAACUGCGAGUGAAGAGGGAAGAGCUCAAAUUUAAAAUCUGUCAGUCUUUGGCUGACUGAGUUGUAAAUUAGAGAAGUGCUAUCAGUGCUGGCCUGUGCAAAAGUCUCUUGGAAAAGAGCAUCAUAGAGGGUGACAAUCCCGUCUUUGGUACAGAUCUCCAGUGCUUCCAUGAUGCGCUCUCGAUGAGUCGAGUUGUUUGGGAAUGCAGCUCUAAAUGGGUGGUAAAUUCCAUCUAAAGCUAAAUAUUGGCGAGAAACCGAUAGCGCACAAGUACCGUGAGGGAAAGAUGAAAAGAACUUUGAAAAGAGAGUUAAACAGUACGUGAAAUUGUUGAAAGGGAAACGCUUGAAGUCAGUCGCGUUCUUCAGAAAUCAACCUGACUUUGGUCUGGCUUACUUUCUGUUGGAUGGGUCAGCAUCAAUUUUGAUCGUUGGAUAAAGGCCUUGGGAAAGUGGCAUCUCCGGAUGUGUUAUAGCCCUUGGAUCACAUACAAUGGUUGGGAUUGAGGAACUCAGUGUGAAUUUGGAGCCUUGCUCACAACACGCACUUAGGAUGCUGGCAUAAUGGCUUUAAUCGACCCGUCUUGAAACACGGACCAAGGAGUCUAACAUACAUGCGAGUGUUUGGGUGGAAAACUCAAGCGCGCAAUGAAAGUGAAAGUUGAGAACCCUGUCGUGGGGUGCAUCGACGCCCGGACCUGACCUUUUGUGAUGGACCUGCGGUAGAGCAUGCAUGUUGGGACCCGAAAGAUGGUGAACUAUGCCUGAAUAGGGUGAAGCCAGAGGAAACCCUGGUGGAAGCUCGUAGCGAUUCUGACGUGCAAAUCGAUCGUCGAAUUUGGGUAUAGGG
Molecule: ribosomal RNA, 856 nt
Filed under: Clavaria sphagnicola
Lineage: Eukaryota; Fungi; Basidiomycota; Agaricomycetes; Agaricales; Clavariaceae
Description: eukaryotic LSU rRNA
Rfam family: Eukaryotic large subunit ribosomal RNA
Source: RNAcentral